UUUGACCUCAAGAUGAACAAAAAGGGUUUAACUGUCAUAAUGGAUGUCCAUCAUAAAAAGGCCCCAUAGCGCCCCCUUCAAAAUUUCAAAACGUAAACCCGCUCCUGCGGUCCAGACAAGUGGAUUCAAUGACACUUAUCUUGAACCCCAAGAGGAAAAGAAAUGGUUGCCAAUGUAAAAAUUGGGGACCCAUCAAAAAAUUCCUUCAUUUCUCCCUCUACAAAAUUUCAAAAUGUAAGUUCAGCUCCUGUGUUUGACCUAAACCGAGGGAUUCAAUGACACCUACGUUGGACUCAAAGUUAAACAAAAAGUUUUCCACUGUCAAAAUGGAUUUCCAACAAAAAUGUGGUCAUAGCGCCCUCUACAAAAAUUUCAGGACUCAGUGCUGUAUUUGAAGUCUGGUGUAUACCCUGUCAAUAGGAAUGGAGCCAGGACCGUCCGUUGUGGAACCCCUGUACUUCUCAAUAAGGCCCAGAAACACAGUUCCCCAGCGUGAAGAACUGUGUGAUUCCUGUCAGGCAAUUUGUGAUCCAGGAAACACAGGUAGGAUCCACGCCCAUCUCUGUGGGCUUGUCUUUGAGUAUGAUCGGUUGGAUGGUGUUGAACGUUAUGGUGACCUGUUGUUAUGAUGACCUGUCAGUUCAUUGACCUAUUGUUAUAAGUGGUAUCAUAAAAAAAUAAGACCAUCUUAAGAAGAGAGACUGAUUUUUAUUAGAAAACAUAACCUGAAACUGGAUAUCUCUUGCAGGGUUUUAUAGUCUUGAAUAUGUAAAGGAUUCGUAAUAUCAUUGACUUUGAAACCAUUUAAGUUUUUUUUGUAGGAUCAGAUUAACAAAAAACAACUGGCACUCUCAUGAUCACUUCUAAUUGUACAGGAAAAAGUGAAAUAUUGCAAAAAGUAUAAAUGGUAGAAAGGUGAAAAGUUCACCCCACUAGAUGGUGCUGUCAUACCAUAAUCAAAAAUUACUAUGGUUACAUUCUGACUGUAAACUUCUUUUGAGUACUUCCACAUUCCACGGGGAGGUUGUAAUACAUACAUUUUUAGGCAUUUGUCUAUCCGAAGCACCUCGACUGAUCAUUUUUCCUUGUAAUGCACAUAAGACAUACAAUUUUAGCAAUUUUUUUUAUUUUUACCUUCAUCCAAGUAUUUUAGCUUCAGCUCUGUAAUAUUUUCUACAUUUUUAUGUGGGGAAGUCACUGAAGCACACCACUAGAUGGUGCUGUUUUUCCAUUAUUACAAAUGAGUCUCAUCACCCUGUGAUGAAGAAAAUGUCAAGAUGGAGAACCAACCAUCAAUGGUCACAUAUUGCCCCCUACCCAAUUGAAAAAUAAAAGCCCUUUUUCUGUGUACGAACCAAACUUUUGAAAUAAAGAACAAUUAUGACAAACCGAAAGUUGAACAUACAGGGCUCCAGCAUCAAAAUGGAGAAUCAACUUCAAAUAGCUCCAGAGUGCCAGCUUCAAAUUAAAAAAAAAAAAGUAAGCCCCACUCCUGUGUUUGACCAAAACCUUUGGAAUUGAUGUCACUUAUGUUUGACCUCAAGACAAAGAAAAAUGGGUUCAAUGUCAAAAUUGAGGUCCUUCAAGAAAUAACUACAUAGCACCCCCUUCAUAAUUUCAAAAUGAAACCCCUGCUUCUUUGAGUGACUCAGACCAAUGGACUAACAGACACUUAUCUUGGAUCCAACUGAAAAUGGCACGACUGCGUUCUCUACAACAUUUCUAAAUGAAAGCCCUGCUCUGGUGCGCGUCCAAAACCUGUGGAAUUAGUGACACUGAAGUUGAACCUUAACACGAACAAAAACAGUUUGAAUAUCAAAAUGGAGAUCCAUCAAAACAUGGCUCUAUGGCGCCACCUUCAAAUUUCUUCAGUGUGAACCACGCUCCUGUGUUUGACCGAAACCUAUGAAAUUGAUGACACUUAUGUUUGACCUCAAGAUGAACAAAAAGGGUUUAACUGUCAUAAUGGAUGUCCAUCAUAAAAAGGCCCCAUAGCGCCCCCUUCAAAAUUUCAAAACGUAAACCCGCUCCUGCGGUCCAGACAAGUGGAUUCAAUGACACUUAUCUUGAACCCCAAGAGGAAAAGAAAUGGGUGCCAAUGUAAAAAUUGGGGACCCAUCAAAAAAUUCCUUCAUUUCUCCCUCUACAAAAUUUCAAAAUGUAAGUUCAGCUCCUGUGUUUGACCUAAACCGAGGGAUUCAAUGACACCUACGUUGGACUCAAAGUUAAACAAAAAGUUUUCCACUGUCAAAAUGGAUUUCCAACAAAAAUGUGGUCAUAGCGCCCUCUACAAAAAUUUCAGGACUCAGUGCUGUAUUUGAAGUCUGGUGUAUACCCUGUCAAUAGGAAUGGAGCCAGGACCGUCCGUUGUGGAACCCCUGUACUUCUCAAUAAGGCCCAGAAACACAGUUCCCCAGCGUGAAGAACUGUGUGAUUCCUGUCAGGCAAUUUGUGAUCCAGGAAACACAGGUAGGAUCCACGCCCAUCUCUGUGGGCUUGUCUUUUAGUAUGAUCGGUUGGAUGGUGUUGAACGUUAUGGUGACCUGUUGUUAUGAUGACCUGUCAGUUCAUUGACCUAUUGUUAUAAGUGGUAUCAUAAAAAAAUAAGACCAUCUUAAGAAGAGAGACUGAUUUUUAUUAGAAAACAUAACCUGAAACUGGAUAUCUCUUGCAGGGUUUUAUAGUCUUGAAUAUGUAAAGGAUUCGUAAUAUCAUUGACUUUGAAACCAUUUAAGUUUUUUUUGUAGGAUCAGAUUAACAAAAAACAAUUGGCACUCUCAUGAUCACUUCUAAUUGUACAGGAAAAAGUGAAAUAUUGCAAAAAGUAUAAAUGGUAGAAAGGUGAAAAGUUCACCCCACUAGAUGGUGCUGUCAUACCAUAAUCAAAAAUUACUAUGGUUACAUUCUGACUGUAAACUUCUUUUGAGUACUUCCACAUUCCACGGGGAGGUUGUAAUACAUACAUUUUUAGGCAUUUGUCUAUCCGAAGCACCUCGACUGAUCAUUUUUCCUUGUAAUGCACAUAAGACAUACAAUUUUAGCAAUCUUUUUUUAUUUUUACCUUCAUCCAAGUAUUUUAGCUUCAGCUCUGUAAUAUUUUCUACAUUUUUAUGUGGGGAAGUCACUGAAGCACACCACUAGAUGGUGCUGUUUUUCCAUUAUUACAAAUGAGUCUCAUCACCCUGUGAUGAAGAAAAUGUCAAGAUGGAGAACCAACCAUCAAUGGUCACAUAUUGCCCCCUACCCAAUUGAAAAAUAAAAGCCCUUUUUCUGUGUACGAACCAAACUUUUGAAAUAAAGAACAAUUAUGACAAACCGAAAGUUGAACAUACAGGGCUCCAGCAUCAAAAUGGAGAAUCAACUUCAAAUAGCUCCAGAGUGCCACCUUCAAAUUUAAAAAAAAAAAAAUUAAGCCCAACUCCUGUGUUUGACCAAAACCUUUGGAAUUUAUGUCACUUAUGUUUGACCUCAAGACAAAGAAAAAUGGGUUCAAUGUCAAAAAUGUAGUCUCUUUAAGAAAUAGCUACAUAGCACCCCUUUCAUAAUUUCAAAAUGAAACCCCUGCUCCUUUGAGUGACUCAGACCAAUGGACUAACAGACACUUAUCUUGGAUCCAACUGAAAAUGGCACGACUGCGUUCUCUACAACAUUUCUAAAUGAAAGCCCUGCUCUGGUGCGCGUCCAAAACCUGUGGAAUUAGUGACACUGAAGUUGAACCUUUACACGAACAAAAACAGUUUAAAUAUCAAAAUGGAGAUCCAUCAAAACAUUGGCUCUAUGGCGCCACCUUCAAAUUUCUUCAAUGUGAACCACGCUCCUGUGUUUGACCUAAACCUAUGAAAUUGAUGACACUUAUGUUUGACCUUGAGACGAACAAAAAGGGUUUAACUGUCAUAAUGGAUAUCCAUCAUAAAAAGGCCCCAUAGCGCCCCCUUCAAAAUUUCAAAACUUAAACCCCGCUCCUGUGGUCCAGACAAGUGGAUUCAAUGACACUUGUCUUGAACGCCAAGAGGAAAAGAAAUGGGUGCCAAUGUAAAAAUUGGGGACCCAUCAAAAAAUUCCUUCAUUUCUCCCUCUACAAAAUUUCAAAAUGUAAGUUCAGCUCCUGUGUUUGACCUAAACCGAGGGAUUCAAUGACACCUAUGUUGGACUCAAAGUUAAACAAAAAGUUUUCCACUGUCAAAAUGGAUUUCCAUAAAAAUGUGGUCAUAGCGCCCUCUAAAAAAAUUUCAGGACACAGUGCUGUAUUUGAAGUCUGGUGUAUACCCUGUCAAUAGGAAUGGAGCCAGGACCGUCCGUUGUGGAACCCCUGUACUUCCCAAUAAGGCCCAGAAACACAGUUCCCCAGCAUGAAGAACUGUGUGAUUCCUGUCAGGCAAUUUGUGAUCCAGGAAACACAGGUAGGAUCCACGCCCAUCUCUGUGGGUUUGUCUUUGAGUAUGAUCGGUUGGAUGGUGUUGAAUGUUAUGGUGACCUGUUGUUAUGAUGACCUGUCAGUUCAUUGACCUAUUGUUAUAAGUGGUAUCAUGAAAAUAAGACCAUCUUAAGAAGAGAGACUGAUUUUUAUUCAAAAACAUAACCUGAAACUGGAUAUCUCUUGCAGGGUUUUAUAGUCUUGAAUUUGUAAAGGAUUAGUAAUAUCAUUGACUUUGAUGCCUUUGAAGUUUUUUUUGUAGGAUCAGAUUUCCAAAAAAUAUUCUUUGUUAACGCUCAGUUGCUAAAAAAAGCCACUGACAUCGACUGCUGUAAAAACAUAUUGGAUUCAUAUUUUUUCCAGAUUUUUUUUCACACAUCUCUCAAAUAACUUCUGCCCUGAUCAAAAAUAGUACAUUUUUUAUCCAAAAAACAAGUUUUAAGCCUUUGAGAGUCCAUUCAAAACAUAACGCCUAAUGCCUAAACAAAACUAUGGCCCCGCUCCAUGUGUGAAUACUGAAAAGAUGUUUGCAGUCAGCAGUAUGAAACCGUAGUGAUUUGUAAUAGUGGAAAAAGAGCACCAUCUAGUGGUGUGCUUCUGUCACUGCCCUACAUAAAAAAGAUGUUUGCAGUCGGCACAUCAUCAUAGAAAUAUUUGAUUAUGGUAUGACAGCCAAAUCUAGUGGUGAGCUUUAGUUGCUGCCCUACAUGUUAAUAUAAAGAGUGUUACAGAGCUGUAGCUAAAAAAGCUGUAUAAAUGCAAAAUUAUUAAAGUUGCUAAAUAGAUGGUAUUAAUCUCAAAAGUAUUAAGAGCAGAAGUUUAAAAACUUGUAUGAAUGUAAAAAAUGCUCACGUGAAGACAAAGUUGUAAGACUUGUCAAUAUUUGUCAAUAUAGAAAUUGUUACAGAGCUGUGGUAUAAAAAAGGCAUAUGAAUGUAAAAUUAUGAAAGUAUGAAGAAGUGGUAUUAAUCUUAAAAGUAUAGAGAGCAGAAUUUUAAAUACUUUUAUGAAUGUAAAAAAUGCUCAAGUGAAGAAAAAGUUGUAAGACUUUUGUGAAUAAAAAUAAAUAAAGCUCAGUCUAGGUGCUUUGGAACGACAAGUGCCUAGAGAUUUAUAUAUUACAAACUCCCCAUGAAAUGUUGAAAUAUUCAAAAGAGGUUUGCAGUCAGCAGCAUGUAACCAUAGUCACUGGUAGCGGCACAACACUACCCUAUAGUGUGCUUCAGUUACUAACUUACCAAGCUGAAGCGCACCGCAAGAUGGAGUAGUGCGUGUGGACAGGGUGUGAAGGAAAUCGACAAGCACACAACACAUGAGAAGUGCUCCACCAUGGGUGAAGUGGAUGCCGUCUGAACUUCUUUACCUGGCACAGUUUUUCUAAGUGGUAUCAUGAAAAUAAGACCAUCUUAAGAAUUCUGGCACUCUCAUGAUCAUUUCUAAAUGUACAGAAAAAGUGAAAUAUUGCAAAAAGUAUAAAUGGUAGAAAGGUGAAAAGUACACACCACUAGAUGGUGCUGUCAUACCAUAAUCAAAAAUUACUAUGGUUACUGUCAGAAUAAUGUGUAUAAAUAUAUAUAGAAGUUAUCAUCUUACUCAAAUUCUUAUGUAAGAGUUUGCUAUAAGUAUGAACUGUUUUAACCUCUUGUUACACAUCAUACACUGUGUGCAGAAUUAUUAGGCAAGUUGUAUUUUUGAGGAUAAACUUUAUUUUUCAACAACUGCAGUGCUCUUGGUCAAUCCAAAAUUUUAAUUAACCUCAAACCUGAAUAUUUAAGGGAGUAAAAGUGAGAUUUUGGCUUCCUUAGGAGAAUAUCUAUGUGUGCACACUUAUUGGGGGCAGCUAUUAGUGUGCAGAAUUAUUAUGCAACUAAAUUGAAAAUGAAAAAUUUUCCAUCUCAUUUGUUUAUUUUCACUGGUUAAAGUGAGAAUGAUAAACAAACAUCUCAAUUUACAAAUAAAAAUUGAAAUAAAAAUAAAAAAUCUGUGACUAAUGUUACUACCCUUCUUCUCAAUAACAGUCAUAAGCCUUCCAUUUAUGGAGUCUUUCAGUUUCUUGAUCUGUUGACGAUCAACUUUUUGUGUUGCAGUAACCAAAGCCUUCCAGACACUGUUCCAGACACUGUUCAGAGAGGUGUACUGUCUUCCUUCACUGAAAAUUUCCCGUUUAAGAAGGGCUCACAAGUUCUCAACAGGGUUUAGGUCAGGUGAAGAAGGAGGCCAUGUCAUUAUUCUUUUGUUUUUAAGGCCUUUACUGGCGAGCCAUAUAGUGGAGUACUUCAUUGCAUGCAAUGGAGCAUUGUCCUGCAUAAAAAUCAUAUGGUUUUCUUGAAAGAUGCAGACUUUUGCCUGUACCACUGCUUGAAGAAAGUGUCUUCUCAAAACUGGCAUUGGAUUUGGGAGUUGAUUUUAAGUCCAUCUUCAUCUCGAAAAGGUCCAGCUAGCUCAUCUUUAAUAAUACCAGCCCAUACCAGUACCCAGCCUCCACCUUGCUGGUGUCUGAUUCGAAGUGGAGCCCUGUGCCCAUUACUGAUCCAGCCACGGGUCCAUCCAUCUGGUCCAUCAAGAGUCACUCUCAUCCCAUCAGUCCAUAAAACCUUUGAAAAGUCUCUCUUCAGAUAUUUCUUGGCCCAGUCUUGACGUUUCGACUUGUGUCUUGUUCAGUGGUGGUCAGAUUUCAGCCUUCCUUACCUUGGCCAUGUCUCUGAGCACUGAACACCUUGUACUUCUGGGCACUCCAGGUAGGUUGCAGUUCUGGAAUAUGACAGCACUGGAGGAUAUUGGGUUCCUGGUAGCUUUACGUUUGAGUCUUCUCAAAUCUUUGGCAGUUAAUUCGCGUCUUUUUUUCUUAACACAUUUCUUGCGACCCUGUUGACUAUUUGCAUCAAAAUGUUUGAUGGUUCUGUGAUCACGCCCAAAUAUCUAAGAAAUUUCAAGAGUGCUGCAUCCCUCUGAAAGACUUUUUACAUUUUUUGACUUUUCAGAGUCACUUAAAUCUCUUUUUUGGCCCAUUUUACCUGAGGAAAAGAAGCUGCCUAAUAAUUAUGCACACCUUGAUAUAGGGUUUUGAUCUCCUUAGGCCCCAGCCUCCCUCAAUACACAUUACCUGAUAUGCUUAUAUCCAAUAAGCAUUCAAGUUUAUACAGCUUAGAGUUGGAAAAUAUGCAUAAAAAUGAUGAUAUGAUCAAAAUACUCACUUGCCUAAUAAUUGUGCACACAGUGUUUUCUAACUUCUCUCUCCAAUAGCUUUAUUACACAGCACAAAAAUGUUUCUUAUCUUCUCUGUGACCUUGUUUCUCCUAUUAGCAGGUGUGUGUGUGAUGUAUCCUCCACUGUGAAUCGUGGGAAGUAAUGAGGAGGAUCCGCUCCUAUCAGAAGGAGCUUGUUUAAUGUCAACAGUGUUGCCUUGACCCUCACAUAUGUUCUGUUGUUCAUAAUUAUGUUUUAUGAGAAUGCUAACAUUGGUGCACAUAUUUUUCCCCCAUCCUUUAGUACCAUUGUGUAACCAGGGACAACCCUAAAUAAAGAGACUGUGGUGCUGUUGGUGCUGUUAUUCCAUUAUUGCAAAUGAAUCUCAUCACCCUGUGAUGAAGAAAAUGAAAAUAAGACCAUCUUAAGAAUUCUGGCACUUUCAUGAUCAUUUCUAAUUGUACAGAAAAAGUGAAAUAUUGCAAAGAGUAUAAAUGGUAGAAAGGUGAAAAGUAAUACUUAUCAUGUCCUUAGGGAGUGCAUUACUAUCAAGUGUGAAUGGUUAAAAUAGCACAAAGUGGGAAGGAGAGAAAAAGUAACAAAUAUUGGUGUUAGAAGAAAAAACGGCCGACAGGAUUAUCAAUUACAACUUGAAAAACUGCGUUUCCUUGCAGAAAAUGCAUGGAAAUGCUGAAUGAUGAAACAGCCAUGCAGAACUGCUACGAAAGAAGAAAAGUAUAAAUGUUAAAUGUCUUGAAGAGGUGGAGAACAAGAAGAAAUUAUGUAGAAAUUUUAGCAUAGCUGCAGUUAAACAUACAUGAAGUUGUAGAAAAGCAGCAGUUGGAGAAGUGUUUUACAUGCUGACAUUUUCAAUAACCUUAAAAAAAAAAUUGUAUGAGUGUUGUCAAUAAACAGAGAUUAGGAUUAGUUAACCCUUGUGUAACCGUUAGAUUUACAUCAGUUGUUAACGCUCAGUGGCUAAAAGAAGCCACUGACAUUGACUGCUGUAAUAACAUAUUGGGUUCAUAUGUUUUCCAGAUUUUUUUUCACACAUCUCUCAAUUAAUUUCUGCCCUGAUCAAAAAUAGUAAAUUUUUUACCUAAAAACAAUUUUUUGAGCCUUUGAGAGUCCAUUCAAAACAUAACGCCACUGCUAUGGUACAAAAAUACACAAAAAUGACUCACUUAACUUCAAUCUCGCCAAAACAAACUAUGACCAUAGCCAACACAUCAAAACAACACUUAAACAACAGCUAAUCACAAGGGGUAACCAACUCAACAGAUGCAUGCCAAAACACAUAAUCACAAACCUUCAAUCUUGCCUAAACGAACAAAAACAACAGCUUAACACAAGGGGUAACCAGUUCAACAGAUAAACAUAUCGGGCUCUAUUUUGGUGCCUCGCCGGAGACGUGCCGCAAGUUCAGCGUCAGUCAGAUCCGCCGCGCUGACAAGGCGUUCCCAAGCACAUUUUGGUAUUUUGGUGAGCCGCGCUGCCCGGCGUAAGUAUCCCCCCUCCCUAACUCAGCUCCUCCCAGCAGCAUAAGUCGUAGACGGGGAGGAGAAAGGGCGUGGAGUGGAUUUAACACAGCCGAGACCUGUUUUCACCAAUCACAUAAGCUCCUCUCCUUGCCUUUAAAUCCGCCACAGGCGAGGCGUAUUACUAUUUUCAUGAAGUAGUCAAAGAGAUCAAGAGAUGUCUUAAGACAGUAAUGCCACAAGAUGACGACAGAGGGCAGCUCCUCAACAAGUGUCCUCCACACUCUCUCAUCUGAGCACAGAUGGAUUUGGUGUGUGUAAUGUUGGACCCACUGGUAAGACAAACACCCUUUUCCACAAAUAAAGACACUCACAUAAAGUUGCAUAUAUUCAAACCUCACGUGACAAAGGUGGGUUGAGCGCACAGAUCACAACAUAAACUCCAAAAAUGGCAUUAAAAAUGGAACCAUCUGUGCGUAAAUGACGCAUCGCGCUCCGUGACCUGGCUCUUUCUUUCAUAGAUGUUGGCAUAUAAAAUAAAUUUGCCUCACAAAACUGAAUAUUAUAAUAUCCGCAUGUAGGCUUAAAGUAGAUAACACAUCUGAGCACUGAAACAAAUCAUCUGUUCAGCCGCAGCAGCAGCAAGAAGGACAGAGGACACAGAGACGUGUCCAGGUCCAGCUGUGUGAGAAAUAAGAGGAAGAGGAAGAUAGAAAAGGAGGGAGACAAAUUACAUAUCUUGUUAACUUCAUCAUGUGUGUUUAUUUACUAGAUAUUUAAUUUAAUUUGAUGCGGUUUCAGCUGUGUUGAUUCGGUCAGGUUGUGUGUCCAAACGCGUGCCAAACGCACUCAUCAGAUCACAUAUAGAUCAGAAUAUAUCAAUAUAGAUCUAUGUGCUGACUCAGAUUAAUAGUUGAUGAUGAUUAUUUAUUGCAGGGCAUCAGUGACGUAUGUCGAUACGCCGCCGGUCUACCAAAAUACUACUAGACCAGCUGCGCUCCGCCAUGCGCUGAAAGCUGACCAGGUUUGAAUCGGCGAGCUUUCAGCGCACUUUACACGCCGGUGGCGAGCACGAAAAUGUCACUGCGCCUGCUGAUUCUGUCGACACCUCCCCCUGCCACGCCACCACGCCCAGCUUGGCGGAUCUCGGCUCGCCUCCGUGAGGCUCAGUCUACAAAAAUACCAAACUGGACUUACGCCAGGCUCCGCCAGACGAAAAUACAACUGCGCGGGGCUCGCCGCCCUCCGCCGCCUCACCGGCGCGCACGAAAAUAGAGCCCAUCAACUGCAUGCAGGAACACUAGCUCACUUAACUUCAAUCUCGCCAAAACAAACUAUGAUCAUAACAAGCCAACACAUCAAAACAACUUUUAAAUAACAGCUACACAGAAGGGGUAACCAACUCAACAGAUGCAUGUGUUAGGCAGAGAGAGACACUUUCAGAAAGUACGGGAGAAGGAGCAUCCCGUUUUAGUUCAUUACGCGACAUGUCUUUUUGUUUUCAGAUACGGUAUGAUCCCGUUUUUUACGGUACGGUUGGGAACCCUAGAGCACCCAUUCCUGGCUUUUGUCAAGUUCUUCGAACAUGUUUUUGUAGAGUUUGUUUACAUUAAAGGGGAUGUAUUUCCUCAUGUCAACAAAAUUACCGUUAUUGUUAAAAAGGAACUUAACUUAAUUUUCAGAAGUAUAUUUCUGCAUUCCUGUCAUGUUGCUGAUUCCAUCUGUUUCUGAGUAUAAUGGUGGACCUCACAAUGAGCCUUACUCAUAACCUGCUGUACCAACAGAAAAAGGAUAACAAUCCUGAACAAUGCUGAGAAUGUUGUCUCAGUCCAUUGUUGUUGAUCGUAUCUAAUGAUUGUUUUUUCGUUUUUAAUUAUUUAUUAAUGUGGUGUAUUUAUUAAACUAUGUAUUUAUUUAUUUAUCUAUCUAUUUAUUAAUUUAUUCGAAUCAAGAUAUUCAAAAUAAAAGCUAUAUGUAAAAAUAACAAAAUAAAUGAAUGGUUUUAAAUUUUUUUAUGCUUUUUGUGUUAGGUUCGGGGAUAUAGGGGUUUGAGCCACUUUUGACAUGGCGGUUCAUUGCCUUUACCAAGGUCGAACCAUCCUGAGAUUUUGUGGAUUGGUGUCACGGUACUGGAGGCGACCACCCCUCCUCCUGUAUUGCACCUCAGUCCAUUGAUCGUAGGCCAUGACUGUUUUUAUCCUUUUUAAUUAUUUAUUACUAUUUAUUGUAUAUUGUGUAUUUCUCAAACUAUUUAUUCAUUUAUUUGUGUAUCUAUCUAUUUAUAAUGUAUUCAAAUCAAGGUAUUCAAAACAAAAGCUGUAUAUGAAAAUAACAAAAUAAAUGAAAUGUUCUUUAUUUUUUUAUGCUUUUUUUUCUAAAAUAAAAAUGAAAUAAAAUGAAAUAAAAGUAAAAUAACAAAAUAAAAUGUCUAUUAAAAUGAAGAAUUGAAGAAAAGGUGUGGGGGAAAAGUGCCCAGUUGCGCAACGUUUCGACCGCUGUGGGUCUUCUUCAGGCUCUGGGCACUGUGAGAAAUAUGUCUGGGCUUGUUGAUUCAGGGUGUGAGAUGUUCUCCCUUCAGCAGACUCAGCCAGAAUGAGAGGAGCCAAGGUUUGUGUGUGUGUUCUAUUUAUAGAGGCGGGGAGAGCAAAGAAUGCAGAAUGCAGCUGCACUCUGAUGAGUCAUGGAGAGGCUCCGGCAGUCUGUGUGUGUAUGAACCACUAAAUGCCUACUGAAUUUAAAUGAAAUGAAUGUUGAUGGUCAAUUGUAAUGUUGAAGCUGAUUAAUGAAUUGUACUUUUAAUGCCCAAUUAGAAUUUUUUUACCCUCUUUUUAACUGAUUAAAUUUAAUUAAUUGUAAUUUUAAUGCCCAAUUUUAACUUUUAUAUUUUAAAUCCAUAAUUGUCAAUUAGAAUUGUAAUGCGUUUGAAUUUUAAAGAUAGUUUUAUUUUAGCCCUUAAUUCCCUUUUUAGAUUUUAGAUUAGAUAUACAUUUGUAAUACUUUUGGUUUUAAUGUGAAAUUAUUACUAUUUUUAGCCUGCUAUGAAAUUUAAUAAUUAAAAAUGAAUUCAAAUGAAUUAAUUAAAAUAAAUUAUUAGUUUUUUAAAGGUUAGGGUUAGGGGUCAGGGCAAGGGUCAGAGAGGUUAGGGUUAGGGUUAGGGUUAGGGUUAGAGGGGUUAGGGCUAGGGUUAGAUGGUUAGGGUUAGGGUCAGAGAGGUUAGGGUUAGGGUUAGGGUUAGGGUUAGGGUUAGAGGGGUUAGGGCUAGGGUUAGAUGGUUAGGGUUAGGGUUAGAUACCUAGUUAGGUGUUAGUUUAGGGCUAGGGAUUAGGGGUUAGUGGUUAGGGUUUGGUGGUUAGAGUUAGGGUUAGGGUUAAGGUUAGGGGGUUAGGGUUAGGGAUUAGGGUUAGGGGGUUCGGGUUAGGCUUAGGGGUUAGGGAAAGGGUGAGGGAUUAGGGUUAUGGUUGGGGUAGGGUGAGGGGUAGGGUUAGGGGUUAGGGUUAGUUGUUAUGAUCAUAGUUUGUUUUGGCGAGAUUGAAGGUAUAUGAGCAUGUUUUAUGGCACACAUCUGUUGAGUUGUUGUUUAAGUGUUGUUUUGAUGUGUUGGCUUGUUGUUUUGAUAGUAUUUUUGGGAAUUGAAAUUAAGUGAGCUAGUGUUAUCACAUGCAGUUGAUAUGUUUAUCUGUUGAACUGGUUACCCCUUGUUUUUAGCCGUUGUUUAAGUGUUCUUUUGAUGUGUUGGCUUGUUGUUAUGAUCAUAGUUUGUUUUGGCGAGUUUGAAGGUUUGUGAGUAUGUGUUAUGGCAUGCAUCUGUUGAGUUGGUUAUCCCUUCUGUUUAACUGUUGUUAAAGUGUUGUUUAGAUGUGUUGG
Non-coding RNA from Xyrichtys novacula (pearly razorfish), 12942 nucleotides. Lineage: Eukaryota; Metazoa; Chordata; Actinopteri; Labriformes; Labridae. The record is from the annotation of a GenBank genome assembly.